GCCCUCGUAGCUCAAUUGGUAGAGCAGCUGACUCUUAAUCAGCGGGUUGUAGGUUCGAGUCCUACCGGGGGUACCA
This 76-nucleotide transfer RNA is filed under the name Planctomycetota bacterium. Its description in RNAcentral is "tRNA-Lys". It matches the Rfam family "tRNA". From Rfam's summary of the family: Transfer RNA (tRNA) molecules are approximately 80 nucleotides in length. Their secondary structure includes four short double-helical elements and three loops (D, anti-codon, and T loops). Further hydrogen bonds mediate the characteristic L-shaped molecular structure. tRNAs have two regions of fundamental functional importance: the anti-codon, which is responsible for specific mRNA codon recognition, and the 3' end, to which the tRNAs corresponding amino acid is attached (by aminoacyl-tRNA synthetases). tRNAs cope with the degeneracy of the genetic code in two manners: having more than one tRNA (with a specific anti-codon) for a particular amino acid; and 'wobble' base-pairing, i.e. permitting non-standard base-pairing at the 3rd anti-codon position. Lineage: Bacteria; Pseudomonadati; Planctomycetota. The record is from RNAcentral.